UCCUUUCAAGUUCCUUCGCUUUGGUUUGCUCCUUCUCCUCUUUUCUCCAUAGGCUUCCAAUCAAUCGAUUGAUCAUGGCAAGCAGCAAGACUCGAUUGGUGUGCCUAGGCCUGGUUGUGAUGUUUGUGAUGCUCCUGGCGGUGGGAGUGGAGGUCGGGGGGAUCACCAAGGCGGUGGCGCAGCGCUGCCGUGGAGGAUGGUACUGGAAUGGAUUCCGCUGCGUGCAAUGCAAUUGGUACUGGUAUGACAACAGCUGCCAUCGAUGCCAGCGCGGGUGGCGCUGGAAUGGCAGCCGCUGCAGCCGCUGAAGAAUCGCCAAAGUUUGUGAGUGAUAUCUCGGGGGAGAGCAAGUCAUAGAAUAAGAGUGUGGCUUCGAAACGAGAAUGUUUUGGAGUCCUGUAGAAUCUUGUGUGAGAUCUAUUCAAGUUUUUGAGAUGUACAGGCCCUGAGACUGUCAAUGAUAAUAAUGGAGUGUUUUCGGGAAAGGUUUUGUUGCUGUGUAACGUUCGCAAUGUAUGGAUUUUUAAUAUAUGGGCAGCCAAAAAACACUAAAUAGCUGUGCACAGAAUGACAAAAAAUAUAUAUAGAUAUAUGCUAAUAAACAAAGAAUGCCAACUAUUGAGAUUGAAGCAGAGAACCUGGUUACAGAAAUCUGGAGUAAAGCGCCUGGCUUUUGGUACCAUUAUAGUGAGUGUACACACAAGAGUUCCAAGUCUUUGGUUGAGACUCAAGUCAAAUUUACAAUAUUAAAUUUUAUAUAUAUAUAUUACUAAUUUGUUCGUGGAACUUUGGAAAAUCUAUUCCAUAUGACUCAGACAAAUUUGUCAUCGAAUCUGAUCUACAGGAAUCAAUAUAAGUUGCCUGGUCGUGUCUUCUUUUCUCAAGAUCCAACACCAGGUUAUAUGAUUGUAACUCUUUGGGAUAUUGUUUCUUGUUCAUUCAGUGGCGGUGAAGUCUAUAGCGAUGGGGAUGGACAAGAUUCGUGUGGCUGGCCUUGGGCUCAUCGCAAGCAUGCGGCCCAACGCUGCCAAAGGGGUGGUAUUGGUAUGACAACACCGUUGCCAGAGAGGUUGGAGCUGGCGCAACUGAAACCUUGAAGCAAACUUAAGAAUCAACAGUAAUUGCCUUUGAUCAUGCUGCAGUGCCAGGGUCUGGAACUUGUGAUGCAUGCAUGACCUUGCGUCCAGCAAUGAUAUAUAUAAGUUGUCCAGGCCUUGCUGAAAGUCAAAGAUCUGUUCUCUGUAUUUUUCAUUUAGAUUCACAGCUUCAUUUCGAGAGUUUACUUGAUUUUGACUCCAGGCGCUUCUCUUGGGUGGCAUUUUUACUUCUUUUGUUGUGUUGCUUGGACUUUGUUCUUCUUGAUUUGCAAACUCGAAGAUUAAGCCUUUUCAUGUUGGGAAUGGAACUAAGAGACAAGGCCAGCGAUUGAAUCCACACCAGUCAACGUGAUUUUCUUUGCCUAGCUGGACUUUCAAGAAGUUGAGAGCUCGCGAAAUGAAGCCGGCCACGAACGCAUUCUCGACCUAAUGCGUGAGCGAACGUUUUCUCGAGCAACAUUAUCCGGAAGAAUUUCAAGAAAGUCAGAGGACCUCUUCCUUUUCGAUUCGGUGCCACAGAUAAUGGGCAAGUAGCAGGCUUCGAAUUCUCUGGAUGACUGAUGCCUGGGAGGCAUGCUCUUGAUCAGAGGCGUACCCAUCCCGUGAUUUUAGACGCUCCCAUAAAUUAUUUUGCUCCUGCCACGGCUGGCAACGACUUAGCAUAUUCCCUCGUGAGAAUAAUGCAUGACAUAAUGCUUGCUCGGUUGUAGUAUAUAGACACGCCUCUCAAGAGAGGUUUCCCACUUUCUUCUAAACAUCAUCCAGAUCCAGAAGGUCAAAGCUCGUUCUUUGCACUCUCAGUACUUAGGCUUCUAAGCACUAAGCUUGCUAUGGCGAUUUGGUUUGGGCUUGUUGCCAUGUUUGUGAUGAUGCUGCUGGCCAUGGGAGUGGGCGGAGGAGUUGCAAAGGUUGCUGCCCAGCGCUGCCAGAGAGGACGGUAUUGGUAUGACAAUAGUUGCCACCGUUUCCAGAAAAACUGGCAUCGGUAUGGAAGCUGCUGUCGAUGUCAGAAUGAUUUGAGCCGGAAUGGCCACUGCGGGCGAAACUGAGAUUAGGUAAAUCUGGUUGCCAAAAAAAAAAACUAAAUAGAAUAAAGUGAUGAGGGCUCUCACUGGGGAAUGUGAUUUUCUUUACCGAGCUUUUAUGGUACCAGGAUGUCCAGUCCAGAGAUUUCUCGAGCAGCCAGAGAAUUCGAAGCCUGCUACUUGUCCAUUAUCUGUGGUACUAUUAUCGGAACCAAUUUGUCAACGAAUCUGAUCCUUCCCAGGACCAAGUCUCCAAGUCUAAUGCGGUGUGCGUCCGCCAAAAAUGCACCUAGAAACUUGCUCGGUCGUUGCAAGGGCGACUAUAUACUACCUCAACUCCAAAAUAAAUAUUUACUAAACAUGUCUGAUGCCCUAUGACCUUCAUAUAAACAGUUCAUCUAUCUUAAAGACUUAGGUUGUUCUUUUUACUUGCAGUAGCAGAAGGGAUCUGGUCCUAGUUACACUUCAUAACUUGAAUUGAGAACGAAUGAAGGUUAUAGACAUAACAUCACCAACAUGAAGAAAUACAGGUGAGAUUUCUGAUGUUUUUUGCCAUCAUAGGUGACCUAGAUUCGAUCUUUGGGGAGAAGCAAAGACAAAGUCCUCUGUCAUUUCACGAUUGGGGGAGAACGCCAACUCAAUGAGCCAGCAGAUUGCUAUGCUGCCACAAGCAAGUGUAAAGCCAACUACAAACUUUUGUUUGGGAAUGACGUGCUGUUUAAGCACGAGGACAUUGGUGAUUAGCAAGACACAGCUGGUUUGCCUUUGGGCUUGUUGUGAUGUUGGCCAUAAUUGUAAGAGGUUCAAUUGAAGGGUUUUGUGAUUAUUAAGUCCUAAUUAAAAUAAAACGAUAAGGUGUUUGUGCUGUUUAAUUUCAUCUGGAGUAGAUUAGGCACUACGCACUGAGCUUUUAUUGGGUGGCAGUUCUGUGUUGUUAUGUAGCAAACAGAACAGCAAGAAUUAUGUUAUCUUUUAGAUUGUGGCGGUAUUUGGCCAGCACUGGUGUGUGGAUAAGAUAAGAAUUGCCUGGUCUGCAAGCUCCAAAACCCAAUCAAGCCAAGAGAGUUUGGUCUAUGUGGUUUUGUCCUUUAAAGUCCAAAGGAACGUACUAGAAUAGUGGACACGAAUGCAUGUUGUACGAGAGAGGCCAAGUUGGAACAAACAUAUUACUAAAAAUUAUGAACAGAAUUACACAGCUAGCCAAUAGUCAUAUUCUUUCAUUGGUCCAAGUCAAACAGUUUAAAAGUCUGUAAAAAAAACACAUUGGUGGCAACACGUUCGGCAAUGUUCUUCUCGACAAGCUCUCGCAGUUCCGCUUCAAACUUUGGCUGCCUGAUCCAGUCGCUUCCAACUGUAACAGCGUAAAUUCCAGCACUAGACCCCAGAGUUUUCGGCCUGCCUUGAGAAAGAGGUCCUGGCCUUCGCCUCUGGAAAUACCUGCAAUACAAGUAAAUUCGGACUUUCAUGCUUAAAAGUUUAAGUAGAGCUUACUGUUGAUCGCGGAGAACAUAACAUCGCGGUCGAAAUACCGAGCGAUUCUCUUACAUGCUGACGGAGCAAAUGACGAGCGCUGCUUCCGUGAGAUGUUUGCUAUUUCCCAGAUGCACCUUUGGGAUCUUUAUCCUGGAGAACUAAAAAGAUUUGUCACGCAUUUUCAUAUCGUAAGAUAUCGAAAGAAGGCUCUAUUCCUUACCCAAGAUGCUGUUGUGUCCUGUUGGUCCAAUACUCGGCCAUGGCAUGAGAGUCUAUCAUCACUGCAGCAACCAGCAACCUCGGGCAUACGUUGACGUAAUUGAGCGUGAAGUAGUGACCGGGAAUCCACCACAGAACUUUGGGAGCGUAGAAUCGAUCCACUUCCCUGCAACGGCCUUGUUGAGGAAAACGAAGUCCGAAUCAACCGCUGCGCGGAGAGUCUCUUCUCCUUUUUCUGGAACCAAAAGAAUUAAUUCACUCAAGAACAAGAGUAGAUAUGUUAUUCAUUCACCAGGAUUCCUUAGAUUUUCGGUAACUUCAUCACUUCGAUAGUAAUCCACUGGACAGUGGCGCCAGCGUUUUGAGAAGCACAGCGAGCUCCAUGAGCAGAAAGGACCCCUACAACCAAAUACAUUCUUGUCUAAGAAGAAGGAAACAAAAACUAAGAGAGAAAUACCUGUGAGAGUGAGCUCAUGCGAGACAAGCACCACAAUCCUUCCACGGAUAAACUGUAGGCCAUGCGGAGGAGCAUCCCGCCGCUCCCUCACUCUUUCAACAAGAGGAGCUUGACAAGCGAUAGCAAUCCCGCGUUGCGCUUGAUCGUUCCUGAUCAUCGGUCUAAGAAACAAAGAAAAAGAUCUGCAAUCAUGACCGUCCAAAACUCAACGUUGGCGAUUUUGCCAAGUGGCGACCGAGUUUAACAAAUUCAAGAGUCUUUCAAAUGGUGGGCGCGAAUUGUAAUGAAAGACUUUGGCCUGGAACCGCGCGGUCUUUGUAUCUAUCCACACACUCUCGACGCUAUAUAAACAUCUCUUACAAUCCCCCACACACUCUCUAGAGCUCCUUUGUUCUUUCGCUUUGGUUUGCUCCUCUCUUAUCCAAUUCCAAUCGAUCGAUCGAUCGAUUGACCGAUUGCUAUGGCAAGCAGCAAGACUCGAUUGGUGUGCCUUGGUUGUGAUGUUUGUGAUGCUCCUGGCGGUGGGAGUGGAGGUCGGGGGGAUCACCAAGGCGGUGGCGCAGCGCUGCCGCAGGGGAUGGUACUGGAAUGGAUCUCGCUGCGUGCAAUGCAAUUGGUACUGGUAUGACAACGGCUGCCAUCGAUGCCAGCGUGGGUGGCGCUGGAAUGGCAGCCGCUGCGUCAAUUAAUGAAAGUUUGUGAGUGAUCUCUGGGGCCUGGAACCAUAGGAGCGAAUGUCGAAUGGGUGAAGAAGUACAUAGAAUAAAACUGUGGCUUCGAAACGAGAAUGUUUUGGAGUCCUAUAGAAUCUUGUGUGAAAUCUAUUCCGAUGUUCAGGCUCUGAGACUAUCAAUGAUAAAUAUGGUCUGUUUUCUGGAAAGUUGUCAGCCACAAUUAAAAGUGUAUUUAUACCUAUAUUACUGCCCUUUAA
Molecule: long non-coding RNA, 5202 nt
Filed under: Selaginella moellendorffii
Lineage: Eukaryota; Viridiplantae; Streptophyta; Lycopodiopsida; Selaginellales; Selaginellaceae
Description: long non-coding RNA (SMOE_LNC001882)
Source: RNAcentral